GCCGGUGUGGCGGAAUGGCAGACGCGGCGCACUCAAAAUGCGCUGUCCGCGAGGGCGUGCGGGUUCGAGUCCCGCCACCGGCA
RNAcentral lists this transfer RNA (83 nucleotides) under Microbacteriaceae bacterium. RNAcentral's name for it is "tRNA-Leu". It matches the Rfam family "tRNA". Rfam says of the family: Transfer RNA (tRNA) molecules are approximately 80 nucleotides in length. Their secondary structure includes four short double-helical elements and three loops (D, anti-codon, and T loops). Lineage: Bacteria; Bacillati; Actinomycetota; Actinomycetes; Micrococcales; Microbacteriaceae. The record is from RNAcentral.